UUCUCUUGAGCUCCACCUUGGUCUCUGUUUGGUCAUUACUGCCUGUGUGUGGUAAAAAUAAAAUGAUGGAAAGAGAGAAACACUAAGAUAAAAGAAGAGCUCUCUUUGCUUCUUUACCCUAAAAAUUUACCCUUAAUGCAGUAAAACCAUGUGCAUUACCCUUAAUGCAGUAAUGUGAGGAUUGCAUUUUGUUCCUGACUCAUUUCAAAGCCUUGCAGUGGAGUGGGCAGGGUGGGUGCAUCAGGAAGCCUUGAACUUCUAGAUCAGUGGUUCUAAAGUGGUGGGGGUGCAGGUGGGUGGAAGAAAGGUAUCAGAGUCAUGCAGAAAGUUAUUUUAAGAGAGAGUGUUUGUGUAUGAAUGUAUCUAUGUGGGGGGUGGGUAGAGGGUGGGUGCUGUAAAAACUUUCCAAGAAUUCUGAUAAACACCUGUCUUUCUCCUGACUGAAUGUCAUCUCCCUACAGAUGAGCAAGUAAGAACCAUAGGCAUGGUAUUGGGGGUUAAGAUCUAGGAGGUGGGAUGGUUCUGGUAGAUGACAAAGACUAGGAAGUGGGCUACUCGAGUGGAAUGGAGUUGAAAAUGAUUAGAAUAAAGGCCAGGAAAGAGUGAAGCUGGAGUCCUGGGUUUGUCCACUGCGGGAUGACUGAGGCAUAUAAUUUCUCCUUUAUCACCUGCAGCACUCUCUAGCACAAAGUACAUAGUGUGAAUUCAAUAAAUACUCUUAAUAGACUGUGUACAUUUCAGAAAAAUGUGUUACUUUUAAUUUUCAAUUAUGUGAG
Molecule: long non-coding RNA, 776 nt
Filed under: Homo sapiens (human)
Lineage: Eukaryota; Metazoa; Chordata; Mammalia; Primates; Hominidae
Description: HSALNT0139137
Source: RNAcentral